RNAcentral lists this ribosomal RNA (520 nucleotides) under uncultured Aspergillus. RNAcentral describes it as "SSU rRNA". It matches the Rfam family "Eukaryotic small subunit ribosomal RNA", at positions 214 to 733 of the family's 1831-position model. The record is from RNAcentral. Lineage: Eukaryota; Fungi; Ascomycota; Eurotiomycetes; Eurotiales; Aspergillaceae. RNAcentral also lists the same sequence under 1 other name.
AUAAAAAACCAACGCGGUUCGCCGCUCCCUUGGUGAUUCAUAAUAACUUCUCGAAUCGCAUGACCUUGUGUCGGCGAUGCUCAUUCAAAUAUCUGCCCUAUCAACUUUCGAUGGAGGAUAGAGGCCUACCAUGGUUUCAACGGGUAACGGGGAAUAAGGGUUCGAUUCCGGAGAGGGAGCCUGAGAAACGGCUCCCACAUCCAAGGAAGGCAGCAGGCGCGCAGAAUUACCCAAUCCCGACACGGGGAGGUAGUGACAAUAAAUAACAAUAUAGGGCUCUUUUGGGUCUUAUUAAUUGGAAUGAGUACAAUUUAAAUCCCUUAACGAGGAACAAUUGGAGGGCAAGUCUGGUGCCAGCAGCCGCGGUAAUUCCAGCUCCAAUAGCGUAUAUUAAAGUUGUUGCAGUUAAAAAGCCCGAAGUUGAACUUCAGACUAGACUGGGCGGUCCGCCUCACGGAGUGUACUGUGUCGGUUGGUUCUUACCUCUUGGUGAGCCAGCAAGCCCUUUACUGGGUGUGUU